ACGCCGCCGCCGCCUUGGACUCGCGCGUGCCGCGACCUCAUUGGAGCAGAUCCACCGAUGCGCUUGCUAUCAGGUCCAAUCUGCUUGGGUCCGCGCCGCACGGGAGGUCUGCGCGUGCCUAGGUUCUGCGUCGUCGGAGAGGAGCCGCUCUAGCCGACGGGGGAGAUGCGCCCCUCCACAGUAGGGGCCGCGAUCCUCGCAAUCCUAAUUCCCGGGAGGGACAUUUGUGUGUGAGGCCGCGGUGGAGAUGGCCUCGUCGUCAGCGUCCUCAAUGCACCAAGUCACCAUCACCCUCGCAGCCCACAGCGGUCAGGGUUCGCAAGGGCCAUGCCGCCUGCAUCGUGCUGCACUAGGGGACACGCACUCUGGUGCGGCGUGUGGCGUCUGCUGGCUGGCAAGCAAAAGCAUCACACGACAAAUGCAAGAUGGUAGAGCAACACUACAGAGGCUAAAAUGGGUUCAAUGGAAAAGAAAAGUGCAAGACUAAGGCCAAAUUGAGAGGUUUGGUUCCUCCUUGUUCCUUGUUCCUUGGGCCUCAACAAGAUCACUCUCGGAUUCGACGUCAAUGUACAGUGGCGAUACAUCCUCCACGCCACAUAGGCAGCACCUAUAGUGCCUGACAAAAGUGGAGACAAAAGUGGAGACAAUGCAGAGGAUAUUUCUUGGGUUUUUGGUAUAGAGUUAAGCAGAUCAAUCUUGAAUGUGUAUAUAUUAGAAGUAGGCAACAAUAUAUUUUCAAUCUCUUGUGAGAUACAUCGAUGUGUUCUAGAUUAAUCUCUGUAUUUUCUUUUCUGUAUAUGUUCUAGAUACAUCAUAUGUUCUACAUCAACAACAUAAUUCUUUUCUC
This is a long non-coding RNA of Panicum virgatum (switchgrass), 847 nucleotides long. RefSeq lists it as uncharacterized. The record is from RefSeq and is a predicted model, not a curated record. The transcript has 5 exons. Lineage: Eukaryota; Viridiplantae; Streptophyta; Magnoliopsida; Poales; Poaceae.